RNAcentral lists this ribosomal RNA (468 nucleotides) under uncultured bacterium. RNAcentral describes it as "partial 16S ribosomal RNA". It matches the Rfam family "Bacterial small subunit ribosomal RNA", at positions 28 to 507 of the family's 1533-position model. The record is from RNAcentral.
GACGAACGCUGGCGGUGUGCUUAACACAUGCAAGUCGAACGGAAAGGCCCUGCUUUUGUGGGGUGCCCGAGUGGCGAACGGGUGAGUAACACGUGAGUAACCUGCCCUUGACUUUGGGAUAACUUCAGGAAACUGGGGCUAAUACCGGAUAGGAGCUCCUGCUGCAUGGUGGGGGUUGGAAAGUUUCGGCGGUUGGGGAUGGACUCGCGGCUUAUCAGCUUGUUGGUGGGGUAGUGGCUUACCAAGGCUUUGACGGGUAGCCGGCCUGAGAGGGUGACCGGCCACAUUGGGACUGAGAUACGGCCCAGACUCCUACGGGAGGCAGCAGUGGGGAAUAUUGCACAAUGGGCGGAAGCCUGAUGCAGCAACGCCGCGGGCGGGAUGACGGCCUUCGGGUUGUAAACCGCUUUCGCCUGUGACGAAGCGUGAGUGACGGUAAUGGGUAAAGAAGCACCGGCUAACUACGUG